CCCGCGCCGGGAGCGGAGGGCAUGGCGGAGCCGCGGAGGGUCUCGUUCCGGGACGGCCGCCUCGCGUCGCGGAAGGCGGAGGAGGCUGCAUGGAGACGGCACCAGGCCGCAGCCACGAGCAUCGUCCAUUCCCAUCGACGAUGAGGGGCACGCAUCAUCUGGUUUUGAAGAACAGUAAGCAUUGCAGAGCGUGCUGAUGGCUUUGAUCAGCAUUGCAGACAUUCUUCCAAGUGAAAGGGAAGCAACGUGGGUUCAUCAGCAGCGGUCGAUGAGACAUUGUCUUGUUCAUACUUCUGAGUGCAAUCGGGCACAUGGAGUACUAUGGGUAGGUACACUGACAAUCAAGGCAUGGCAUAUCUGUACAGGUUCUUAUUUCUUCAAAAUCCCUCAUAUAACUGAAUUUUGUUUCUCCAAUACACUUACAGUCAACUUACAUGCUCAUCAUGAUUAUUUAUAUGUAACUUAUGUUUUAUUGGGAGUCUGAAUUUUCUCUUGCUACUUUCAACUUAUGUUUGAUCAAUUUUCAUGCUCAUGGUGAUUAUUUAAAUGCAACUGUUGCUGAUCUAUAAUUGGCAUGGGAACAUUUAAAAAAGAGCAGUUUGCGCAACUCUAUCACUUAAUAAUUCUUGAUUUCCUGUACUGCAAAGUUUAAAAUGCAUAGACAAUGCUGCAACCAUAGGAAAUAUACAAAUAGACAUGCUGGGAUUCUGUACACAAUUUCACUGUGUCAAUAUUUUUUGUUACUGGCUUCAAGUAACCUGCUUUCUUUAAUAUUGACAGUGCUCCUGUACAUGCUGGGUUUUGGUUUUUCUUAUGGCUGCCACUUGUAGAUUAACUGUAUCGAUAUUGCCGGAAAGGGUGUUGAUUGAAAGGGUUGGAAAUGUCACCACCUUCUUGCCUUGUUCAGAGUACCGUUUUACAUUUAUUAUUAUCCAGUGCUCUAUUGGUAGGCUGUAGAGACUUCGAUGUUUAUUGUAGUACAAUCUUUUCUGUGUUUCUAGGUCCUCCUAGAGGGGACACCACAUGGGUGACUUCGUUCCUCAGGAAGAACUUGAGAAGUUCAUGGCACGUUGUACUGAUCCUGCAGCACAAAAGGCUACCAAAGAAGCUGCGAGAAGGCUAAGAUUCAGGCUGACAAUAUUGGCACACGCUUCUGUCUAAGAUGGGCCGGAGGGAAGGUUAGUCCUUGAAUACUUGAUACCAGAGUUCCACUUCUCUAGUAAAUGCCUUUUGGCAUUAUAGAAUCUUACUUAACCUUAUGGUUUUUUUGUCAAAUAUCUUAUGGUUUUUCCUUGUUUUAUUUUAGGGUUUCUGAAGUUUCUUCAGUUCUGCAUCAUAUAGUAGAAUGUGGUUAACUAUAGCAGUAUGCUUGUUGCUAGAGAUCGACGUCGAUAGCUUUAGUUUGCCUAGAGUUUGUACCUGAAUGCCGGAAGCUUCAGUGUGCAAGUGUUAGCACCUGAACAUUUUCUCUGUUUAAAUUUUACAACGCUAUGUUUUCUGUAUAAAAUUUUGUUUUUUUCCUGUCUAAUGGAAAUUGCUGCACGAUCAACCAGUGCGGAAUUAGAAUGAUUGCUUUGCAACUUCAGUAUGUAACUUAUAUUGCUUUUUUCCUGUCUUAAGGAAAUAGUUUCAAAAUCAACAAGAGCUGAAUUGGGGUCAGCAAUAUUGCUUUACAACUCUGGUGUGUCUUGGAAGGAAGAAUUCUAAAGCAUGAGAAGUUUAUCAAUGCAGAACUUGAUAGAACCUGACAAAUUAUAAGUAAGUUGCAUUGCACAACUAUUGGAAAUUGUAUAAUUAAAAAAUCUACAGGAAUUCUUUCUCCACACAGAAUACGAGGAUAAUGCGCACUAAUUUCAUACUUAUGCAUUUAUAUAAUAUCAUAGGAUCCACCAGAAUGGAAAGAGAAUGCAGUUUAGGCAGGAUAUCUUCUAUAUAAAAAGCAAAAUUGGGGCCCUAGAGAUCUAUUGUUUCUUGUGAAAAACUGAAUUCCCAACAUACCUUUUUUUGUCAUGAAUAUGGACAUGUUUGCGUCAUGACCAUUUCGUCAGAUUAUUCGUGAUCCUUUUCUCUUGAUUGUCUGAAAAGUAAUCCCCAUGUAAAUGUCACUUGACCUUGGGUGGACGGAGUGCAUGGGGGACUGCCUACUGAUCUUAGUUACACCAUGAUGUUGGCCCACGAGUAUCGAUGAUAUCAUAGAAUCUGUGAAUAUAUUUUAGCAAAAGUGUCUGAUUCCCAAGAAGCGGGUUCUGAACUCCCACUUCUCUUUGAUUUUUACAAGCUAGCUCACAAGACAUCAGGUUAUUUGUUUGGUGCAUGGCUCCCAUAUGGUUGCCUUUAUAAUGUAAUUUUUUGGUUUUAUAUUCUUAUUUAAGUACUUCCUCCGUUUCAUAUUAAUUGACUUCAAUAUGGAUGUAUCUAGAACUAAAAUGUGUCUAGAUACAUCCAUAUUAGAGUAAAUUAAUAUGAACCGGAGGGAGUACUAUUUUCCUUCAUUUUCAUUAUCUGUUUGUAGACUGCAGUCUCAGCCGUGUCCACUUGGCACUUUCUGGUCUUUGAUUGUAGCCUUAACUGUUGUCGUGCGUGCCUGUUGCUGUUGUUUCCUUCCUUUCAGUGAGUAUUGUGUUGUGGUUUCACGUCAAAUACUCACAACAUGACAGCACAUGCCUGGGUUGUUACCACUUACCAUCCGUCUCUCACAUCCAAUAUAUGUAUUGGACGUGGUGGUAAAAUACAUGGUCCAGGCCAUCAUAGAUUUAUUGGUGCUUUCUUGUUCAUGAUGCUCGCACUUCCCCUGCUACAUCUGUUCCAGAGAUUAAAUUUUACUUCAACCUAGGACUAAAUAUAUCAUUUUGGGAGUAUUGCAAAUAUAUCUAGAUGACUAAAUAUAUCUAGAUGUUUGAAAAUAUAUCUAAUUGUAUACCUUGCUUAAAUCCUAAAACUGGAUGGUAUGUUGCAGGUCCGCAAAAAAGUCUGAUUGAACCAUGGCUCAGAAAAUGUGUUCUGCUGAUAUAUUUUGCUCAAUAUGACUGAUAUGUCAUGAUGAUGUACAUUAGGGGCUGCUUCAUUUUUAAGUACAAAUCUAAGUGAACUAUCAAGGUUCCUCAUUUAACAUGUUUAUGAGCUCAACAACUUUAUAAAUUGUCUUGUGCUGAUAAAUUUUUAUUAGUAAUUGUGGAGGUAGUGCAAAGAACAAUUGUAUGCUCACCUGGAAUUGUCGCAUUGUUCUCAGAAUGUGUUACGUGGACAGUCUCUCAUUAUCUACUUUGCAUCCAGUUGCAACAAAAGAAGCGUAUGUGCUCUGGCUUUCUACCGGUUGACUAAUGAUCUGUAUGAGGAACACUAUUAUCUCUGUCUCAUUCUUUCCUCUCAAUCAAGAGAAUACCAUAUCUCCGGCUAUAUCGGAUUCGGUAUCACUACUAAAAAGGGAGGCAACAAGGGCAUUUUUUCUAAGCAAGCAGCAGAUGUCCAACAUUUGCUAUCAAGGUAAACUAUUCUCAGUUAUAUGGUUAAACUAUUUUCAGUUAUGUAUCCAUUAUUGUGAUGAACAAGUCAGUUUUCAGGAUCUUAGUCUAAGCACUUCUACGAUAUUACCAUAACAACUGUCAGGUUCGAUUGGCUUAUUUUUCUUUGGUGAGGGCUUCCAUUGUUAUUACCUAGAUGGCUAUUGUCAAGCUCUUAUUUUUAUUUAUAGCAGUUUCUUCAGUUAGUAGCUUAGUAUGUUUGUAUACCUACCUAUAAAUAUGACAGCAAGUUGCAGAAUUUCCAAAAGCAAUUUUAGUCCACGCCUUGAUUAUAAAUUAUCGAUACCGACUUGUGUUGUUUAUGUUGGGUUCAUAGGUCAGGUGUUAUAAACCUGCUCUUAUCCAGUUCUCGCACAUCUUUUUCUGUGGAUUUUGCUAUCAAAAUCUGUCCUCGUGGCCCUGGAUUUCCUUUGUGUUUCUUUUAUAUAGGUGGCAGAUGUUGAAUUCAAUAUAGCCAGUGAGAAGUUCAUGCUAAAAAGGUGUACGGGCUCUACAUGUGGUAUUGUUUACUCCCGCUGGGACCUCAAUUUACUCUUGGUCGCGAUUUAGUGUGAUACCAGCAGACUGAGUUGUAUUUGUGUUUGGCUAAAAAUGUGGAGUUUUCCUAUGUGUUACUAUACACAAUAUUGCAACUUUGGUUUAUUCAUAAUUUUGGAAGUGGCCUAAAGUUCUUAUACCUUGGACUUAUUCCAUGGGAUGUUGUGUUGUCUGCUUGCGUAGAAACUGUAAACUGAAUUGUAGUGAUUAAAAAUGCCAGAAUGAGUUCUGAUGCGGAUGCAAGACCACGGAGGAGGCAAGCCAAGGGAACCCGUAUUGGGCGUUGAAUUAUUUUUCAUUGGACUGGGAUUAGAUCGCACAUCUCUAGUGAGGAGGGAAUGCAGUUGAGGUCGAAGAAUGCCGUUGGAGAGACCAGAGGUUGCCGUGGUGGUGCUUGCCGGAGAUCACGGCGAGAUGCUCUGCUGGGAGAGGAGACCUUGCCGGCGAGGUUGGGGACGAGCUGCUGGUUAAAGAUCAUGUAAUGAUUUUGUAAUUUAGACGCUACUUGCAAAUGUUGGUUCCAUAUCCUAUAAUUUAGAUGUCUGGCUACAAUUUUAAUGCAUGAUCAGGUUACUGUGUUUGAUUAAAAUACCAGGCAAUAUGAUAACUGCAUAUAUUUGUGCAAGCACUAUGAUUAUUGCUUUGUUUUGAAUAGUGCAUGUAAACAUAAUCAAAGGCAUUGUUGAAAACAGCCUUCAAAUGUAAUAUAAGGCAUCAUUGAAAAGUGUA
Molecule: long non-coding RNA, 4787 nt
Organism: Lolium rigidum
Lineage: Eukaryota; Viridiplantae; Streptophyta; Magnoliopsida; Poales; Poaceae
Exons: 4
Source: RefSeq, a predicted model, not a curated record